UAAGUAAGCGGAGGAAAAGAAACUAACUAGGAUUCCCUUAGUAAUGGCGAAUGAACAGGGAUCAGCUCAGUGCCAAAUCGGAAUCACUUGUGGUUCUGAAAUGUGGCUUGAAGGCAGUACCAGUGGCAUCGCGGACGAAAGUCUCUUGGAAAAGAGCGUCAUAGAGGGUGAGAAUCCCGUGAGUCGUUCGCCGUUUGUCACGUACGGUCUGCGUUCUAACGAGUCGCGUUCCUUGGGAUUGGAGCGUAAACGGGUGGUAAAUUUCAUCCAAAGCAAAAUAUAUACUCGAGACCGAUAGCACAAAAGUACCGUGAGGGAAAGGUGAAAAGAACUUUGAGAAGAGGGUUAAAUAGUGCCUGAAAUCGUUGAGAAGGAAGCGGAUGCCGCCGUUGCAUAUGCUGAUUGUAGGAUUGCUGCUCGCUCCUGUCUUCUGCUACUCAUUCACAGACCUGGUCGUGUUGAGCAGUUGUUUGGCAGAUGUUAGUGGUGUUUCCUACUUUCAGUCGUCAGCAUCACUGGCUGAGUGGAAAUAAUCCUUGGAUGCUAAUUGGUUCGCUAUCUGUGAAUUGGUUGCUUCCUUGCGAUACUCACUACUCGGUCAGUGAGGAAGUGCGUUUGCUGGUCAACGAGCUUUCUAACUGUCAUUACCCUGCGCUUUUCGAUCCGUCGAGUGGCCAGGAUGUGGCUUUGAGAUUGUUCGCACUUAGUAAUCGCGAUGCUGGCUUCCAACGGUUGCCUCCGGCCCGUCUUGAAACACGGACCAAGGAGUCUAACGUAUGUGCGAGUGUGUGAGUGGCAAACUUAUACGCGUAAUGAAAGUGAGGCCGUAUGGCCAUGUUGGGGUCACCAACAACCGACCUUGAUCUUCGGUGAAAGGUUUGAGUAUGAGCAUAUCCGUUAGGACCCGAAAGAUGGUGAACUAUGCCUGAGCAGGGUGAAGCCAGGGGAAACUCUGGUGGAGGCUCGUAGCGAUA
RNAcentral lists this ribosomal RNA (974 nucleotides) under Perkinsus marinus. RNAcentral's name for it is "LSU rRNA". It matches the Rfam family "Eukaryotic large subunit ribosomal RNA", at positions 43 to 885 of the family's 3401-position model. The record is from RNAcentral. Lineage: Eukaryota; Perkinsozoa; Perkinsida; Perkinsidae.